UACGUAGGGGGCAAGCGUUGUCCGGAUUUAUUGGGCGUAAAGAGCGUGUAGGCGGCCGUACAGGUCAGCUGUGAAAACUCGAGGCUCAACCUCGAGACGUCGGUUGAAACCGUACGGCUAGAGUCCGGAAGAGGAGAGUGGAAUUCCCGGUGUAGCGGUGAAAUGCGCAGAUAUCGGGAGGAACACCUGUGGCGAAAGCGGCUCACUGGACCACAACUGACGCUGAGGCGCGAAAGCUAGGGGAGCAAACAGG
RNAcentral lists this ribosomal RNA (253 nucleotides) under uncultured bacterium. Its description in RNAcentral is "partial 16S ribosomal RNA". It matches the Rfam family "Bacterial small subunit ribosomal RNA", at positions 524 to 776 of the family's 1533-position model. The record is from RNAcentral.